ACGCGAGAGAGGAGGUGGUCCGAGUAAUGAAUGACUUGUGGACACGUGAGGUGGCUCGCCGCUGACCAGCGGCAUCGCCAGGACCGCGCCGGGUGACCGGCGCAGCUGUUGGUAGCAGCGAAUCCCAGCGAGCUACCCGGACCCGCAGGCGCCGGAAGAGUCCAUCCGGCACGCCUCCUUCGCGAGGCAGCCUGCGGGUCUGUCCAU
Molecule: small RNA, 207 nt
Filed under: Naumannella cuiyingiana
Lineage: Bacteria; Bacillati; Actinomycetota; Actinomycetes; Propionibacteriales; Propionibacteriaceae
Description: Actinobacteria sRNA Ms_IGR-5
Rfam family: Actinobacteria sRNA Ms_IGR-5
Source: Rfam by way of RNAcentral